ACAAUACUUUCUGCAAAAACUUCAAGUGUUCUGCGUUCAAGCAUAGAAAACAAAAUGGAAAAAUAACACAGGCUGAGUUUGACACUGAAAUGGGUAAACAUUUACCGGAUUGUGACAAGAACUACAAUGGAACUGCCAAAAAUAUGGAACCGGAUGCCACGGUAUUGAUGUGGGGUCGAUCUCUAGACAAAAAACUCAGGUAUACGACCUUGGUCGGUGAUGGUGAUUCUUCAGCCUUCAAUAAAAUUUGUGCAAUGAAUAAUGGUGAUGGACCAUAUGCAGACGUAAGAGUGGAUAAGGUUGAGUGCAUAAAUCACUUCAGCAAGAGACUUGCAACACAGCUUUGUAACUUUCAGAAAACAGCUGUCGAAUUGAAGGAGACAAAAGAGCCUGUCAAAAAGACCAGACGAAUGUCAUUGGUCAAUGGGAAGGGAAAAUUAACUGACAACACCAUUCUGAAGUUGGCAAGUUACUUUACAAAAGCCAUUAGGGAUAACAUCAACUAGGACUGGAAACAAAUGAGGGAUGCCUGCCUGUCUGGACUGUUCCAUGCAACGUCGACGGAUGAAAAGCCAAUGCACAUGCAUUGCCCUAAAGGCAAAGACUCUUGGUGUUUCCACCAGCAAGACAUUACAAAUGAAAUGACCCCACGAUCACACAAGACGAUGAAAGUACAUUUUCAGCUACCCAGUAUUCACAUGACUGAAGUCUUGAAGAUAUACAACAAUCUUGUAUCGGAGGACAACAUGAACAAGUGCCUGAAGGGGAAGACUCAGAAUCCAAACGAGUCUCUACACCACCGAGUUUGGAAACUCGCCCCCAAAGACAAAUAUGUUAGUCGAGUAUUGGUAGACUUCGCCAUGGCAAUGACAGCUGUCAACUACAACGCUGGGUAUAUGAUGGGAUCUCUGACGAACCUCCUUGGUCUACCACAGAGUGACAUUCGGGACCGGUACUUCAACAUGAAGGACAAGAAGAUGCACCACCAAGCCAAGAAAGGCCCCUGAGGAAGCUGACCCUGGCUAUGGGGCAGGUGCCUACUAGUGCCAUUGCAGUGCCACCUUGAGGACCCAUAUUUCAGACCAAUUAUUUUAGGCGAUCUUCAUGGAACUUACACACCUUACUGAAGGCAUGCCUAUCUACAAGGAUGCAAAUUUUGAAUGAAAUUGGUCGACAUCAACCUCAGCCACAGUUGGUUGAACUUUGACCUUUGUUUUCUACAGGCUGCGAUGCUGAAACUUGGACCAGGUGCAGCCCUUUUCACAUGUAACACAUCAAUAAAUUUUGAUUGCACUAAACAACUUUUAAUCAUCCCCAAUAACGCCCCCUUGUGUAAUUGACUUUGACUGUGCUGUGUGCCGUGUGUGUGU
Non-coding RNA from Procambarus clarkii (red swamp crayfish), 1370 nucleotides. The record is from RefSeq and is a predicted model, not a curated record. Lineage: Eukaryota; Metazoa; Arthropoda; Malacostraca; Decapoda; Cambaridae.